Molecule: long non-coding RNA, 2533 nt
Filed under: Calidris pygmaea (Spoon-billed sandpiper)
Lineage: Eukaryota; Metazoa; Chordata; Aves; Charadriiformes; Scolopacidae
Description: lncRNA (ENSCPGG00000007398.1)
Source: RNAcentral
UUCUAAGGGGUUGAGGAGGUGCCUCCUUAUUGAACAAGGUGCUAUGAGCUGGCAAUUGCCACCCUCUGUUCUCCUGUGACAGGUCUGUGUUCAGCUGGGUACUACUGUGAAGGAGGAGCCACUGAUGUCAUUCCCCGAGGGACACCUGCCUUCCCACUCAAUGGGCCCUGCCCACUUGGGCACUAUUGUCCAGAGGGUACUCAUUUCCCAAUUGCCUGCCCAGCUGGGACCCUGAACAAUGCCACAGGUGGUACCUCCCCGGAGAGCUGUGUGCCAUGCCAUCCUGGGUCUUUCUGUGCUGGCACUGGUUUGAGUUCUCCAACAGGACCUUGUACUGAGGGGUUUUACUGCCCGGCAAACUUCAGCUCCAUCAGCCCCACGGCUUUCCUCUGCCCUAAGGUAUUGCUUAGUGACAGCGGGGCAGUGAAAGAGGUGGGUCUCAGCUCUGGGCAGGACGUGUUGGUUUUCCACAGUGGCAAAGGGUCACACAUGCCUCAUUGAAAUGUUGAUUACAUCCACACGGAACGUUGGCCAAGGCUUUGGUAAUUCUGGGAUUCACCCUUUAUGCAGACCCUGAGUUUUUCACCAUCUCCAUGCAAUCCUCUUCCUUCUCUGUCAUUGCCAGGGUCACUUCUGCCAGACAGGGGCAGCCCUCCCAACGCCGUGCCCUGCUGGGGAAUACCAGCCGGCCAGGGGCUCUGCGUCCUGCGUUCCGUGCCAGAGAGGAUUCUACUGCCAGGAGCCAGUGGCAGGAGACCCCAAGCGCUGCCCACCACAUUCUUACUGUCCUACAGGCACAUGGGUUCCUCUCACGUGUCCUGAAGGCACCUUCACUCCUGCAAACAUGACUGGCCUCUGGAACGAGGAGGAAUGCCUGCCUUGCUUGCCCGGUCACUACUGCAGGCACGGACGGCUGGAGGGGAAGUGUGCUGCUGGAUAUUUCUGCCUUGCUGGGAGCUCUCAGUCUGCUCCCCACGGCCACAGCUUUUCCUGGCGCUUCCUCUCUGGGUGCCGCUGGGGUCAGGCGUGUGCAGGGCUGUGUCCUGCAGGUUUCUACUGCCCAGAGGGAUCUGAGGUACCUAUACCAUGUCCUGCCAAUACUAUUAGAGAUGUUCCAGGGGCUGUGAAGAGGGAGGACUGCCUGCCCUGUCCAGCAGGACACUGGUGCAAAGCAGGGGCUUCAGAGGCCUAUCCAUGUCCAUCAGGACAUUAUUGCUUUGGAGCCAAUGGCAGCGACCACAGUAGUGUCCUGGCACCUCAGAAAUGCCCGCCACAAACUUACCGCAAGUACCCAGGAGCUCAGAGCCUGACAGAUUGCCAGCCAUGUCCUCCGGGCUAUCGCUGCCCAUUAUCAGGUCUGACCAGGUUUGAGGAUUAUCCGUGCCCCCCUGGAUACUGGUGCCCUGGUAAAGGGGACGCUUUCCUUUGUCCAGCUGGCACUUCCAGGAUCCGGCCUGGUGCAAAAUCAUUGGAAGAGUGUGAUCCCUGCUCACCUGGAUACUAUUGCCCGGAUCCAGCACAGACGGAGCUGCCUAACACCCAAGGAGUGCCUUGUAAACCUGGCUAUGAAUGCCCAGCAGGUUCAGUAAAUCCAAAGCCUUGCAGGCCUGGCUUAUACUGUGGUGCUCACACAGCCGUGCCUUCCGUGUGCCCUGCCGGGUAUUACUGUCCUGAAGGAUCGUCGACAUACAAUAGCCCUGAGCAGCUGUGUGUGUUUCCCUACUACUGUCCCCCAGGCAGUGCCCAUCCACUGCCUUGUGAAGGAGGGUACAUGGCCCUCAACUUGCCUGGUCCAAGGGAUUCAUUUGAGAAAUUCUGCAGAAUCUGUGAUGCAGGCACCUACCGUAGUGACUCCCUUAUCACGGCGCCCUGUCAGCCCUGCCCAGCAGGCUUCAUCUGCCCACAAGGCAGUGAGAGUUACCACAAGAAGCCUUGCCCCAGUGGCCAUUACUGCCCUCCCCUGGCAUCUGUCCCUCUGCCCUGUCCCCCGGGAACCCACGGGAGCAGCACCUUCGCGAAGCACGUAGAGGAUUGCCAGCCCUGUCCUGCCGGUACCUUCAACCACCUUCCUGCUCAGGCUGCCUGUUUCCCCUGUGGCAGCUCUUCUUCCUCCCAGCCUGGUGCUACCACCUGUACCUGCCAUGGGUUGAACCGGGCUUUCCAGCAGUCAGAUGCCUCCUGCAUCUGCCAGGCGGGGUAUGUUUACUACGAUGAGAGAGGCAAGAAAGACCCUGACGGCAACAGCGAUCAGGACUGCCGACCUCAGGUAAAGCCUGGCUUCAUAACAAAGUUGUUGUGUGACCCACAGGAAAGGAGAAGUAGUUGAGUGCUCCAGGCCUUGUCUCAGGAUGUGUACAUCUCUGAGCUCGGUUCUCUGGGCUUCUGCAGACACAAGCAAAUCAUUUAAUUGUUUUGUUUGAGAGGCUUUACCAUUCCAUGUAGGAUAAUGGCAUUGUCUUCCUUACCAGAGUCUUGGGAAGUGAAAUUCAUAAGGGCUGGAGGCAAACAAUGCUUCCAUGUUACAGCAAUGGGG